RNAcentral lists this ribosomal RNA (1260 nucleotides) under Triticum aestivum (bread wheat). RNAcentral describes it as "partial small subunit ribosomal RNA". Lineage: Eukaryota; Viridiplantae; Streptophyta; Magnoliopsida; Poales; Poaceae. The record is from RNAcentral.
AAGUUCUUAAUUCUCCCCUUUUCUCCUGUGUUUAUAAUCUCCUGCCAAAACCACAACAAAGCUGAAUCACAGAAAAACAGGAACUGAACUUCAAGCAUGUUAGAGUAUGUUAGUUUAGGGAUUAAUUCAGAGAGAAAACCGUAGUAAUCGGUGUGCCGGCAUACUGCAUAUCACCUAUGCGUGUCGUCUCCCUCCUCAUCUCAGUGUACUGUAAGCACGCGCACAACCAUGGAGGCGCGAACAUGGAUAGAGGAGGAUCCCUCGCGUGAAUGAAGAUGCAGAGGGGAGCGAGGCGUCGGCUAGUGGCCCCAGCUUGGACACCGUGAGUUGUGGAGGGGCGUCGAACUGCAUGGGUAAUGAGAGAGGGUUGCGGCAUCAGCGGGAGUGCACGCCGGCCGGAUCCAGUGGGGUGACGGCCGUGGCUACCCCAACCUCCAUUGUGGUCUUCGGCUAUGCUCGGAGUGACGCCAUGGAUCUCCGGUGGAUCUGGAGCUGCACUGCAUCACUGUUAGGGGCCAAACUGCACACCCAGGAAGAAGUCCACGGCCGGAUCUCGCCGGGAUCCGAUGAUUUCCCGGGGCGCCGCCACAGGAGGUAGUCUUGGUGGGCCAGGCGACUUGCCGAAGGGGUAGGUUGGAGCGGCGGAGUAGGAGGUGUUGAAGGAGAUGGAGGAGUCAGAGCUGGAGAGGUCGACGCUGUCGUGGGGGUAGGAGAAGGGGGCCCAGGAGAAGAGCUGCCGCGACGGGCCUCCACCGUGGGGACUGGUGGAGGCUGGAGACCACCAUGGGCCUUUGCCCUCCGCCGUUGAACUCCACCGAGAUGAGCAUGGGACCGUGCGGAUCCCGCCGGAUCCGACACCGCGAGGGGUGUGGUGGUGCCGCGGGGGAGGGUGGCGGUGCGGUGGUGGCUGCGAGGGAGGCUGGCGGCGCGGGCCAUGAGGUGGCGGCCGAGGUGGGUUGUGGGGGUGAUGACACGAUGUGGUGGGGAGGGGAUGCACGGCAGCCGUCGGGCGUGGCUUGGGGCAAGGUGGCGAUGUGGGGUGGGGAAGGAGAAGCACGGAGGCCGUGUGGAGAGGAGGCUCAGCUGUGGCUAGCUGGUGGCGUGGGGCCCUGGCGGUUUCAGGGCAAGGCGGAGGUGGCUGCGGUGGCUCGGCGGAUCGGGGCGGCGGCGUAGAGGAAGGCAGGGCGAUGCGGGGCUGUGGCAACUACAGGAGGAAGAAGGUGGGAGAGGAGGUGGGUUGUGUGUGGGCGUGCGGGUGGG